Molecule: long non-coding RNA, 287 nt
Filed under: Olea europaea subsp. europaea
Lineage: Eukaryota; Viridiplantae; Streptophyta; Magnoliopsida; Lamiales; Oleaceae
Source: RNAcentral
CGUGCAAAAGUCGAGCAUAAUCCCCAAAAUAUGGAAAAGAAUCAAAAACUAACAAAAUAUGGAAUAUUGCCAAAAUUGAAAAAUUCGCCAAAUUUUUGAACCAUGUGGCCGAAUGGUGUAUUUUCAUGCAGUCGCAUGGUUUAACCAAAAAUCCAUCUUGAGUUUCGGUAUGCCUCCAUGCGGUCGCAUGGUGCGGUCGCACAGGCUUGUUUUCAGCCUCCGAUUUCGUCGCUUGAUGACAAAUUGAUCCAAGUUGAUUCGGCCCUUGACCCGAACAUGAAAGUUGC